AAGAAAGAUUUCAGGUCUGGUACCGUGGCUCACGCCUGUAAAUCACAGCACUUUGGGAGGCCGAGGCCGAGGGUCGCUUGAGCCCAGGAGUUUGAGAUCAGCCUGGGGCAACAUAGUGAGAUCCUGUCUCUAAAAACAAAAACAGAUGAUUCGAAUCUCAGAUAAGAAGGGCAAGUUUUUUUUUUGUUUUUUUUUUGCGGGGGUUAGUGGGGGAGUUGCGGUGGGAACGGGAAGGAAGAGUUUAGGGUUUAUAAAUGUUGAGCUUGUGAUAUGUCAUGCUUGGUAGCAGCUAGAUUUUUGAAUAUGGAGUUUAAUAAACUUGGGUGUCUUCAGCCCAUAGGUGGUAAUUUGUAGGGAAGAAAGGUCGGAUUAUAGUUAGAGUAUAGAAACAUGAAGGGAGGGUGGAGAAGGAGAAUGUGUUUAAAGAAUAGUCCGGAUGAGAACGGAAACCAGUGUGGUGCCACUGAAACCGAAUUGGUAAUGACUUGUAAGGAAGGAAUAGUCAGCAGUGUUGCACUUCUUUUACAGAUUAUGUGAGAAAAUGGCCAUUUCUAUCAUCUGCUUCUAUGAAAUGUGUUCUCCAGUGUAUGGAUAUUAAAUGUUACAGUUUGAUGAGUUUGGACAAACCCAUGUACUGUAUAACCACACCUCCCUCAAUAUGCAAGAUGUUACAUCAUCCCAGGAAGUUCCCUUGUACCCUCUGUCAAUCCCUGCCACCUUCCUAUUCUGACUUUUAUCGUCAUAAAUAGAUAGUUUUGCCUUUUUUUGAACUUCAUGUAAAUGGAACCAGCUCUGACCCAGGCUGGAGUGCAAUGGCACAGUCACAGUUCACUGUAGACUUUCACUCCUGAGCUCAAGUAAUCGUCCUGCUUUUGCCUCUGAAAAUGCUGGAAUUACAGAUGUGAGCCACCGUGUGUGGCUGCUCAAAAAAUAUUUUUGAGGGAUUAAAGCCUGUGGUUUCCACAGAAGCACCACCUAUCAUAUUUGCCACACCAACUAAACUGACCUCCGAUUCCACAGUGUAUGAUUAUGCUGGGAAAAACAAAGUUCCAGAGCUACAAAAGUUUUUCCAGAAAGCUGAUGGUGUGCCCGUCUACCUGAAACGAGGCCUGCCUGACCAAAUGCUUUACCGGACCACCAUGGCGCUGACUGUGGGAGGGACCAUCUACUGCCUGAUCGCCCUCUACAUGGCUUCGCAGCCCAAAAACAAAUGAGUUAGGCUGCAGAGGACUGGUUUGUUUUUUGGCAUAAACCCUUUGAAGUUCCUUUUUCAUUGUUAAAUUAAAAAUUUUUUUUUACUUGGAUGGCUUAACAUUUUUGCAAGAAAAAAUAGGAAGAUAUGAAGAUGAUGUUUUGGUUUGUUUAUGAAAUGCAUAUGGCUUGUCAGAGCUCAUUUGACAGUUAAAGCCAUUGUUUAAAGAAAUGGUGCUUUGCUCUGUGUUUGUGCUCCUGAUUUCCCUGGAGGUUCUGGAUGAAGGCUGAACCCAGGCUUGUUAAUGUCAGUCUGUGCUGAGGACCUCAGGGACUUGAGGUUGCAUUUUUGAGCAUGGGGUGCAGAAGCCUUUCUGGAUUUGGAUGUGGCUAUGGAAAGAACACAGAAGCCAAGGUCAUGUGCAUGAAAUGAGGAGUUUGAGUUAGUCAUCUCGCAGAUUUUUUCCAUUUUGCAGUAAAAUGUUAAAUUAAUGUAGCCUGCCUCUAUUUGUUGGGCAGGUAAUUUCAAAGGGUUAUUUGCCUCAUCUCCUAUCUUUAGUGAAAUCUUAUGUGUAAUUGUGUGUAUUUAUUCCACCGUGGGAACAGAGAACACCUGUUUAGUGUUGCACUUUAGACUGGUGUCUGUUUUGUUAAUGCAGCUGUGCCACAAAUUCUCCUUUAUCUUUUAAAAAUGUUAUAGCUUUAAAUUUUGAUUUAUUUUGACUGUGGAAUAAAUACAUGAAUG
This 1936-nucleotide small RNA is filed under the name Pan troglodytes (chimpanzee). Its description in RNAcentral is "processed transcript". Lineage: Eukaryota; Metazoa; Chordata; Mammalia; Primates; Hominidae. The record is from RNAcentral.